This 575-nucleotide small RNA is filed under the name Pan troglodytes (chimpanzee). RNAcentral describes it as "processed transcript". Lineage: Eukaryota; Metazoa; Chordata; Mammalia; Primates; Hominidae. The record is from RNAcentral.
UCUUCUCUCUUUUCUGGAGUUAGAUUAGUCUGAAGCCGCCACCAGCCCCAGGCCCCCGUGCAGAAGAAAAGCGGGAGGGAACGGCAGAGGCCGCCGCUGCCCUGCACCGCCCUCCUGGAGGCCACUUGGAGAGUCCGGCCCCGAGGAGGCCAUGGCCACAAGUGCCCACAGCUGGCCCCAGGGAGCAGUCCUGCCCCUCCCCGAGCCGCCAGUCUCCUGUCGUCACUGAUGUUGGAGGAGGUCCCACUGGGGGUCUGGAUGUGACCCAUCCUUGGCCUGGGGGCAGUGGUCUCAGAAGAUGGCCUGGCCCAUCCUCUGCUCACCACCCACCCUGUGCAGCCCUGAUCGCAGAGAACUUCCGCUUCCUGUCACUUUUCUUCAAGAGCAAGGAUGUGAUGAUUUUCAACGGCCUGGUGGCACUGGGCACGGUGGGCAGCCAGGAGCUGUUCUCUGUGGUGGCCUUCCACUGCCCCUGCUCGCCGGCCCGGAACUACCUGUACGGGCUGGCAGCCAUCGGCGUGCCCGCCCUGGUGCUCUUCAUCAUUGGCAUCAUCCUCAACAACCACACCUGGAAC